This is a long non-coding RNA of Brassica napus (rape), 1835 nucleotides long. RefSeq lists it as uncharacterized. The record is from RefSeq and is a predicted model, not a curated record. Lineage: Eukaryota; Viridiplantae; Streptophyta; Magnoliopsida; Brassicales; Brassicaceae. The transcript is spliced from 5 exons.
UUAUACGCCAUCCUUUCAGCUCACUCCUCAUCCACAAUGAAACCCUCACAUUCGCUGCCGUUUCAGUUCUCAGAUGUAACUGUUGCCUUCCACCACCAUGUUUCAUCAAAGUUUUACAUUACUGUAACAAUUAAAAGGCAUUCCGUCUCUUCAAUUCCCCUCCUUUCUCCUAUAUAUUUCAGUGGCUUCUCCCUCUUGACCCAUACCCAAAAGAGAAGCUGAAAUAAACCCGAUGAUUGCAUGGCAAAGAAUUGCUAGAUAUUCCGCAACGGCAACGGCUCCGGCUAUUCUUCCCGGAGGCGAGCUGAAGAAGACCGAAUCUGGAAGGCCCCCUAAUUGGUCUUGAGAUGCUGUUGAUAAGAAGAGGAAGAUAGAAGCUGAUGCUGCCGAUUCAAGAUAAGAACGAUCAGCUUCGAAGCUCUAGGCUUAUCUCUCAGCUUGGGAGGUUGAAGCUACUAUGGACUUUGUACGUCAUGAGAGCUCCAUUCUUCACCAUGUACACAAGAAUUCCGUCAAUCAUGGGUUUAUCACUGCUGCUCGUGCCAAUCAGUACGGUUGAUCGGUGCUUCUCUACGAACCGGUACGAUCAUCAAAGUUGAUCGGUUUGAAGUUGGGCAAUGCACCAUGUAUACAAGACUACGGAUCAUCCUUUUGUUAUCCGUUUCAUCCCCACCACCACGGUGUCCAAGGUUCCGCUGUUAACGUCACCGCAACUACUCGAGUUGUGGUCUGUUUUCUCCUUGACCCGUAACCUCUAUCUAGACUCCCCUCAGGACCAAGUUCUACGUUGACACCACCAUCCCCGCCAUUGAAACAUUCACAGAGAGGUCCGUCUAGCAUUAAAAACAAUACCUGACUUGGGUGCAGCGAGAGAGGGUUUUACACGUGUUGAAACCAUGGGGGCAUUAAAAAGAAAGAACGUGUGACAAUUGGUGAUUUUCAUACCUACAUGUCCAGCUCACCAGGUCAGUGUAGCUCUAUCAUAUUUUAAAAAAAAAAAUUCUCCAUGUGAAAUCGAGGUCAGUCAUUGAUAGACUUUAGAAAUCCCUAAGUGUGGGAAUCGUAGCUCAAAUGGAAAGCAAGAGGAAGUUGUGGAGAUGGCUUUUGGGAUGUGUAAUAACCAACCUUUUAUAUGGGUCGUUCGACCAGGCUCUAUCAUUGGAUCAGACGGAUAGAGAGUGAAGUCAGUACAAUUGUCUCAGAAAGAUGAUAUAUUGUGAAACGUGCACAGCAGAUAGAAGUACUAAUUAAGACAUCCUGCAGUUGGAGGCUUCUGGAGCCAUUGUGGAUGGAACUCAGCUGGAAGUGAAGUAGAAAGAGGAAAACGUCGAGAGAUCUGAAUAAAGAAGGUGCAGAGAUGAAGAAAGCAUCUUUGAAAAUACCUUCAAUAUAAUCCUUCUUUUGUUUUUUCUUCCUUGGUUAGGUUAUGAUCUUUACCAAGACCGAUUAUUUUCAGAAUUCUGGCUCAGCCGAAGAUUUCUCAAGAAUGUUUAAAUUGAAGCUUAUAUUAUAUAUGUUGCUAUAAAGAAAAGAAGAACCUUGGGGGUGCCAUUCUUGACUUUAUUUUUAAUACAACAUGUAUAUCUGUGUGAUUGAUGCUUUGUGUCUACAUGAUUUCCUUGAAGAUAAUGUUUACAAUACCAGGACUUGAGAAUGUUGGAAAAAGCCGCAAACGCAGUCGUGAGUGAAUGUUGAAAUUUCUAUCAUGUGUUUUGUUGUUUGAAACAUGGUUGUGUUUUUAUUUAUCCUGCAAACUAUAGCUCAUAGGAAAAGAGUUUCUACUUUGAUUUUUUAUUAUUAUGACAUGAUUCUCGCAGAUCAAGAUGUUGUUAUCU